GAAUAAAUAAAAAAAUUAUGUUUUUUAUAAUUUAUUAUAAAUUUAUUUUACAUGUAAAUUUUAGUAUUAAAUUUUAAUUAUUUUAAUAAUAAUUAAUUUAAAAUUUAUAGUAAUUAAAAUUAAAAAUUUAAGAAAUUAAGAUUUAGUAAUAUUUAAAUUAAUAACUAAUUUUGUGCCAGCAGUUGCGGUUAAACAAAAGUUAAAUUAAAUUAUUUCAGUAUAUAAUAAAUAAUAAAUAAUUAAAUUAAAUAUUAAAUUAUUAAGUAAAAUUUUAUUUUAAUUAAAAAUUAUAUUAAAAUUAUGAUUUAGUAAAUUUUAUUAUAAACUAGGAUUAGAUACCCUAUUAUUAAGAAUUUAAUUAAAAAUACUAAAAUAGUAAAUAAAAUAUUAUUGAAACUUAAAUAAUAUGGCGGUAUUUUAGUUCAUUUAGAGGAAUCUGUCUAAUAAUUGAUAAUCCACGAAUAAAUUUACUUAAUUUAUAAUUUUGUAUAUCAUUGUUAAAAAAAUAUUUUUAUAUAAUAAUAAUAUUUUAAAAUUUAAAAUAAAAUUUAAUUCAGAUCAAGAUGCAGGUUAUAAUUAAGUUAAGAUGGAUUACAAUAAAUUUAUUUAAAUGGAAAUAUUUUUUUAAGAUUUAAUUGAAGGUGGAUUUAAAUGUAAUUUUAAUUAGUUUAUUAAAAUGAUUAAAAAUUGAAAUAUGUACAUAUUGCCCGUCACUUUCAUUUGAAAAUUGGAAUAAGUCGUAACAAAGUAGAGGUACUGGAAAGUGUUUCUAGAAUGAA
Molecule: non-coding RNA, 779 nt
Filed under: Limenitis cleophas
Lineage: Eukaryota; Metazoa; Arthropoda; Insecta; Lepidoptera; Nymphalidae
Source: RNAcentral